AUGGUGGGAAAGAUGCCCAACGUCACCUGGCCUGAGGGCUCUUUUGUGGAGACCGUAAAGGGGUGGCAGUCGGGGUGGUUCUACAUCACCGAGCCACGCAAUACAAACUGGGCGGCGGCCCCCAAAUUUCAAUUCGGCGUCCCCAUGCGGCUCACCUCCUGGAAAGAGAAGGGCUUAGCCUGGGGCUCCGCGGUAGAGCUGACCGGACUUCAGACCUGCGUCCGGAAUAUGAUAAGCAAGAAAAUCAAGCUCGUCAACGUAGUACAAGUUAUGCUCCUCCACCGGAUCCUUCCGUGCCAGAGACGGGUUUGCAAUCUGUGGGAGUUCGACCCGGCCGAACACCAGAUGCUGCGAGAGCUCUUCGACACGCCACACGAAGAUGUCUGGAAGGUGCUGUUCAAGGCCACCGAGGUAACACCACCCAUAACCGAAGAUCGCGGACUCAGCGCAAAGCGCCCAGCCAAUCCGGACUGGGUAGCGAUAGCGGAGCGGAUUGACUGUCCAGCUCCGUUACCCGAAGAUCCAGAAUCGAAGCUUCUAACGAAGAUGUUGUUUCCGGCGCCCUAUGAGGUGCUAGAGAAGAAGGCCAAGAAGAUAGUCGCGGGGACCAGGAAAGGUCUUCGGCGCAAGGUUGUAUCGGACUCGACGUCAGAAGACACUGAGGCACACUCCUCCCACGAAGACGAGGAGGAGGAAGAGGAAAUCCCUUCCUCCCCAACCGGGAGGGAGAAGAAGAGAAAGGCCGCCCCACAGGGGGAGGCCGAAACGUCCAAGAAGGGAAAGACCUACCUUCCAGACCACUCCACCACGGCCACCUACAACAGCGAGAAGUGGUUGCCCAGGGACAAGCCCCUGGCUAAGUCUUCGACCAAAUCUCACAUCGAGGUAUCCUCUUCGGAGGAGUCCCUAGACCCGUCGGCGAUGAACAAUGAUUCACUCCCGAUAGCCUCCUCCCCCAGGCCCACGAACGACACCGAAGUGUUGCCCCAGAGGAUACCGGACCAGGGGGAGACAGUUCUGGAGACGCCCCCAGGUGAGAUCCCAAUCGCUGGGGACAUGGGGGGGGGGGGAGAAGACCCCCAUGGACUCUGA
RNAcentral lists this ribosomal RNA (1092 nucleotides) under Triticum aestivum (bread wheat). RNAcentral's name for it is "partial small subunit ribosomal RNA". Lineage: Eukaryota; Viridiplantae; Streptophyta; Magnoliopsida; Poales; Poaceae. The record is from RNAcentral.